Molecule: ribosomal RNA, 460 nt
Filed under: uncultured bacterium
Lineage: Bacteria
Description: partial 16S ribosomal RNA
Rfam family: Bacterial small subunit ribosomal RNA
Source: RNAcentral
CCUACGGGAGGCAGCAGUGAGGAAUAUUGGUCAAUGGCCGUAAGGCUGAACCAGCCAAGUCGCGUGAAGGAAGCAGGAUCUAUGGUUUGUAAACUUCUUUUAUAGGGGAAUAAAGGUAUCCACGUGUGGAUAUUUGCAUGUACCCUAUGAAUAAGCAUCGGCUAACUCCGUGCCAGCAGCCGCGGUAAUACGGAGGAUGCGAGCGUUAUCCGGAUUUAUUGGGUUGAAAGGGUGAGUAGGUUGUUUUUUAAGUCAGCGGUGAAAGUUUGUGGCUCAACCAUAAAAUUGCCGUUGAAACUGGAAGACGUGAGUGUGUUUGAGGUAGGCGGAAUGCGUGGUGUAGCGGUGAAAUGAAUAGAUAUCACGCAGAACUCCGAUUGCGAAGGCAGCUUACUAAGCCAUAACUGACACUGAAGCACGAAAGCGUGGGGAUCAAACAGGAUUAGAUACCCGGGUAGUC